UGAUUCAUGACUGGGGUGAAGUCGUAACAAGGUAACCGUAGGGGAACCUGCGGUUGGAUCACCUCCUUACCUGAAAGAA
This 79-nucleotide ribosomal RNA is filed under the name Salmonella enterica. RNAcentral's name for it is "partial 16S ribosomal RNA". The stretch from base 1 to 69 matches the Rfam family "Bacterial small subunit ribosomal RNA", at positions 1465 to 1533 of the family's 1533-position model. Lineage: Bacteria; Pseudomonadati; Pseudomonadota; Gammaproteobacteria; Enterobacterales; Enterobacteriaceae. The record is from RNAcentral.